This is a long non-coding RNA of Carassius gibelio (silver crucian carp), 515 nucleotides long. RefSeq lists it as uncharacterized. NCBI's taxonomy places the organism in Eukaryota, Metazoa, Chordata, Actinopteri, Cypriniformes, Cyprinidae. The transcript has 3 exons. The record is from RefSeq and is a predicted model, not a curated record.
AUUUUAACCCAGCGGGUCUGGGUUGAGGACGCGGACGUGAAGGAGAGCACGCACGUCACGUCAAGAUCGUACGUCUCCAGUGCGAGCAGCCGCCAUUUUCUCAGCGUGAUAGAAGCGAGAAGCGAGUGAAAGACUAUGACUUGUCAAGCUUGUGUCUUCAUUGUCCUCGCGCUGAGAGUUAAAGACACAGAAGCUGUUUGUGUGAGGAGUCACAGACCUGUGCGAGGAUGAGGAGGAGGUGUUCUUCUGAAGAGAGGGACAGACGGUUUAAGGAGAGUAAACUUCAGAAUGACAUUAAGUUAUCUUUAUUUUUACUAAGACUAAAAUAAUGUUGUUGUUUUUUUAGAUGUUGCAAUCCAGAGACAAGAUAACUUCAUUCUUUUGAGACUGUUAACUCAAACUAACUGGAGUUAAGGACACACAAGUGCUUGUGUGAGGAGGUGGUUUUCUCAGCUUCUUCUGAAGAGAGAGAAAGAUCGUUUAAGGCAAGUAAACUUCAUAAUUUCAUGUUAACA